UCUCCGUAGGUGAACCUGCGGAGGGAUCAUUCACAUGAUUUACUUUAUAAACAAACUGUGAACUUUAUUAUAUACUAUUCUUGUAAGGAUUAUUUUAUAAUCUUUUACAACGUCAUUCGAUGAACAUUAGAUAGUUGGCUUGUUUUUUUUUAAAUAAAAAACUUUCCCAGCUGAUUUGUUUGUUAGACUAAACAUCUAUUCAAUCAAUCAACCAAAAACAUAGAAACAACUCUAUGCCCUGGAUAUCUUGGUUCUC
This 256-nucleotide unclassified non-coding RNA is filed under the name plant metagenome. RNAcentral's name for it is "partial contains small subunit ribosomal RNA, internal transcribed spacer 1, and 5.8S ribosomal RNA". The record is from RNAcentral.